This 348-nucleotide small RNA is filed under the name Rattus norvegicus (Norway rat). Its description in RNAcentral is "uncharacterized LOC108351001". Lineage: Eukaryota; Metazoa; Chordata; Mammalia; Rodentia; Muridae. The record is from RNAcentral.
CUUGUAACUUAAUAAGAGACACAGAUGAUGGAAGGGAUUUCAUAAGACCUUAGAGUUCAACCCAUACUUAUCAUCUAGGAGGACUUUGAACAUGUUUAAGGUGCUUCUCAGCCAUUCGAGAUUCUUCUGCUGUGAAUUAUCAGUGUUCUGGUUUUAUGUUGAGGCCUUUGAUUUACUUGGAAUAGAGAUCUCUGCAGAGUAAAUCAGUAACAUUCUUACCAAAUGGACUGAAAAAGAAAUCAGAGAAGCAACACUUUUCACAAUAGAUUAAAAUCAUAUGAAGUAUUUGGAGGUAAGUGUAACCAAGCAGGAGACAUUCUUGUGUUAUAAAAACAAAACAAAACAAAA